AUAAUGGCCGCCUUCGAAUCCUGAGACAGGGUAACAGACUAUUAUUAUUAUUAUAUUAUUAUUAUUACUAAAUAUAGGAACCCUGAGACAAGGUAACACAGUAUUAUUAUAUUAUUAUAUUAUUAUUAUUAUUACUUAACAUAGGGACCCUGAGACAAGGUAACACAGUAUUAUUAUAUUAUUAUAUUAUUAUUAUUAUUAUUAUAUUAUUAUUAUUAUAUUAUUAUUAUUACUAAAUAUAGGAACCCUGAGACAAGGUAACACAGUAUUAUUAUAUUAUUAUAUUAUUAUUAUUAUUACUUAAUAUAGGGACCCUGAGACAAGGUAACAGACUAUUAUUAUAUUAUUAUAUUAUUAUUAUUAUAUUAUUAUUAUUAUAUUAUUAUUAUUACUAAAUAUAGGAACCCUGAGACAAGCUAACACAGUAUUAUUAUAUUAUUAUUAUUAUUACUAAAUAUAGGAACCCUUAGACAGGGUAACAGACUAUUAUUAUUAUUAUUAUAGUGUUAUUAUAAUUACUUAAUAUAGGGACCCUGAGACAAGGUAACAGACUAUUAUUAUAUUAUUAUUAUUACUAAAUAUAGGAACCCUGAGACAAGGUAACACAGUAUUAUUAUAUUAUUAUUAUUAUUAUAUUAUUAUUAUUAUUAUAUUAUUAUUAUUACUAAAUAUAGGAACCCUGAGACAAGCUAACACAGUAUUAUUAUAUUAUUAUNNNNNNNNNNNNNNNNNNNNNNNNNNNNNNNNNNNNNNNNNNNNNNNNNNNNNNNNNNNNNNNNNNNNNNNNNNNNNNNNNNNNNNNNNNNNNNNNNNNNGACAAGCUAACACAGUAUUAUUAUUAGAUUAUUAUUAUUAUUAUUACUUAAUAUAGGGACCCUGAGACAGGGUAAUAGGCAGUAUUAUUAUUAUUAUAUUAUAUAAUUAUUAUAUUAUUAUUAUUAUUACUUAAUAUAGGGACCCUGAGACAAGCUAACACAGUAUUAUUAUUAUUAUUAUAUUAUUAUUAUUAUUAUUACUUAAUAUAGGGACCCUGAGACAAGCUAACACAGUAUUAUUAUAUUAUUAUAUUAUUAUUAUUAGUAUAUUAUUAUUAUUAUAUUAUUAUUAUUACUAAAUAUAGGAACCCUGAGACAAGCUAACACAGUAUUAUUAUAUUAUUAUUAUUAUUACUAAAUAUAGGAACCCUUAGACAGGGUAACAGACUAUUAUUAUUAUUAUUAUAGUGUUAUUAUAAUUACUUAAUAUAGGGACCCUGAGACAAGGUAACAGACUAUUAUUAUAUUAUUAUUAUUACUAAAUAUAGGAACCCUGAGACAAGGUAACACAGUAUUAUUAUAUUAUUAUUAUUAUUAUUAUUAUAUUAUUAUUAUUAUAUUAUUAUUAUUACUAAAUAUAGGAACCCUGAGACAAGCUAACACAGUAUUAUUAUAUUAUUAUUAUUAUUAUUACUAAAUAUAGGAACCCUUAGACAGGGUAACAGACUAUUAUUAUUAUUAUUAUAGUGUUAUUAUAAUUACUUAAUAUAGGGACCCUGAGACAAGGUAAUAGACAGUAUUAUUAUAUCAUUAUUAUAUUAUUAUUAUUAUUAUUACUUAAUAUAGGAACCCUGAGACAGGGUAACAGACUAUUAUUAUUAUUAUAUUAUUAUUAUUAUAUUAUUAUUAUAUUAUUAUUAUUACUAAAUAUAGGAACCCUGAGACAAGCUAACACAGUAUUAUUAUAUUAUUAUAUUAUUAUUAUUAUUAUUAUUAUUAUAUUAUUAUUAUUACUUAAUAUAGGGACCCUGAGACAAGGUAACAGACUAUUAUUAUUAUUAUAUUAUUAUUAUAUUAUUAUUAUUACUAAAUAUAGGAACCCUGAGACAAGCUAACACAGUAUUAUUAUAUUAUUAUAUUAUUAUUAUUAUUAUUAUUAUUAUUAUUAUUAUAUUAUUAUUACUUAAUAUAGGGACCCUGAGACAGGGUAAUAGACAGUAUUAUUAUUAUAUUAUUAUUAUAUUAUUACUUAAUAUAGGGACCCUGAGACAACCUAACACAGUAUUAUUAUAUUAUUAUUAUAUUAUUAUUAUUACUUAAUAUAGGGACCCUGAGACAACCUAACACAGUAUUAUUAUAUUAUUAUAUUAUUAUUAUUAUUAUUAUUACUGAAUAUAGGGACCCUGAGACAAGCUAACACAGUAUUAUUAUAUUAUUAUUAUAUUAUUAUUAGAUUAUUAUUAUUAUUAUUAUUACUUAAUAUAGGGACCCUGAGACAGGGUAAUAGACAGUAUUAUUAUUAUAUUAUUAUUAUUAUAUUAUUACUUAAUAUAGGGACCCUGAGACAAGCUAACACAGUAUUAUUAUUAGAUUAUUAUUAUUAUUAUUACUUAAUAUAGGGACCCUGAGACAGGGUAAUAGGCAGUAUUAUUAUUAUUAUAUUAUAUAAUUAUUAUAUUAUUAUUAUUAUUACUUAAUAUAGGGACCCUGAGACAAGCUAACACAGUAUUAUUAUUAUUAUUAUAUUAUUAUUAUUAUUAUUACUUAAUAUAGGGACCCUGAGACAAGCUAACACAGUAUUAUUAUAUUAUUAUAUUAUUAUUAUUACUUAAUAUAGGACCCUGGAGACAAGCUAACAUACAGUAUUAUUAUAUUAUUAUUAUUACAUAUUAUUAUAUAUUACUUAAUAUAGGGACUCUGAGACAGGGUAAUGGCUGUAUUAUUAUUAUAUUAUUAUUAAUAUAUUAUUAUUAUAUUAUUAUUAUUACUAAAUAUAGGAACCCCUGAGACAAGCUUAACACAGUAUUAUUAUAUUAUUAUACAUAUAUUAUUAUUAUUAUUAUUAUUAUAUUAUUAUUAUUACUUAAUAUAGGGACCCUGAGACAACCUAACACAGUAUUAUUAUAUUAUUAUAUUAUUAUUAUUAUUAUUAUUACUGAAUAUAGGGACCCUGAGACAAGCUAACACAGUAUUAUUAUAUUAUUAUUAUUAUAUUAUUAUUAGAUUAUUAUUAUUAUUAUUACUUAAUAUAGGGACCCUGAGACAGGGUAAUAGACAGUAUUAUUAUUAUAUUAUUAUUAUUAUAUUAUUACUUAAUAUAGGGACCCUGAGACAACCUAAAUACAGUAUUGUAUUUAUAUUAUUAUUAUAUUAUUAUUAUUACUUAAUAUAGGGACCCUGAGACAACCUAACACAGUAUUAUUAUAUUAUUAUAUUAUUAUUAUUAUUAUUAUUAUUAUUAUUACUGAAUAUAGGGACCCUGAGACAAGCUAACACAGUAUUAUUAUAUUAUUAUUAGAUUAUUAUUAUUAUUACUUAAUAUAGGGACCCUGAGACAGGGUAAUAGACAGUAUUAUUAUUAUUAUUAUUAUUAUUACUUAAUAUAGGGACCCUGAGACAAGCUAACACAGUAUUAUUAUAUUAUUAUUAUAUUAUUAUUAUUACUUAAUAUGGGGACCCUGAGACAAGCUAACACAGUAUUAUUAUAUUAUUAUUAGAUUAUUAUUAUUACUUAAUAUAGGGACCCUGAGACAAGCUAACACAGUAUUAUUAUAUUAUUAUUAGAUUAUUAUUAUUAUUAUUAUUACUUAAUAUAGGGACCCUGAGACAGGGUAAUAGACAUUAUUAUUAUUAUUAUUAUUAUUAUUAUAUUAUUAUUAUUAUUAUUACUUAAUAUAGGGACCCUGAGACAAGCUAACACGGUAUUAUAAUAUUAUUAUUAUAUUAUUAUUAUUACUUAAUAUAGGGACCCUGAGACAAGCUAACACAGUAUUAUUAUAUUAUUAUUAGAUUAUUAUUAUUACUUAAUAUAGGGACCCUGAGACAAGCUAACACAGUAUUAUUAUAUUAUUAUUAGAUUAUUAUUAUUAUUAUUAUUACUUAAUAUAGGGACCCUGAGACAAGCUAACACAGUAUUAUUAUAUUAUUAUUAGAUUAUUAUUAUUACUUAAUAUAGGGACCCUGAGACAAGCUAACACAGUAUUAUUAUAUUAUUAUUAGAUUAUUAUUAUUAUUAUUAUUAUUAUUACUUAAUAUAGGGACCCUGAGACAAGCUAACACAGUAUUAUUAUAUUAUUAUUAUUAUAUUAUUAUUAUUACUUAAUAUAGGGACCCUGAGACAAGCUAACACAGUAUUAUUAUAUUAUUAUUAUUAUAUUAUUAUUAUUAUUAUUAUUACUUAAUAUAGGGACCCUGAGACAAGCUAACACAGUAUUAUUAUAUUAUUAUUAUUAUUAUUAUUAUUAUUACUUAAUAUAGGGACCCUGAGACAAGCUAACACAGUAUUAUUAUAUUAUUACUUAAUAUAGGGAUCCUGAGACAAGCUAACACAGUAUUAUUAUAUUAUUAUUAUUAUUACUAAAUAUAGGAACCCUGAGACAGGGUAACAGACAGUAUUAUUAUUAUUAUUAUUAUUAUUACUUAAUAUAGGGACCCUGAGACAGGGUAAUAGACAGUAUUAUUAUUAUUAUUAUUAUUAUUAUUAUUAUUAUUACUUAAUAUAGGGAUCCUGAGACAGGGUAACAGACAGUAUUAUUAUUAUUAUUAUUAUUAUUAUUAUUAUUAUUACUUAAUAUAGGGACCCUGAGACAAGCUAACACAGUAUUAUUAUAUUAUUAUAUUAUUAUAUUAUUAUUAUUACUUAAUAUAGGGACCCUGAGACAAGCUAACACAGUAUUAUUAUAUUAUUAUUAUUAUUUUAUUAUAAUUAUUAUUAUUACUUAAUAUAGGGACCCUGAGACAAGCUAACACAGUAUUAUUAUAUUAUUAUUAUUAUUAUUACUUAAUAUAGGGAUCCCGAGACAAGCUAACACAGUAUUUUUAUAUUAUUAUUAUAUUAUUAUUAUUAUUAUUAUUACUUAAUAUAGGGAUCCUGAGACAAGCUAACACAGUAUUAUUAUAUUAUUAUUAUUACUUAAUAUAGGGAUCCUGAGACAAGGUAACAGACAGUAUUAUUAUAUUAUUAUUAUUAUUAUUAUUAUUAUUACUUAAUAUAGGGAUCCUGAGACAGAGUAAUAGACAGUAUUAUUAUUAUUAUUAUUAUAUUAUUAUUAUUAUUACUUAAUAUAGGGACCCUGAGACAAGGUAACAGACAGUAUUAUUAUUAUUAUAGUAUUAUUAUUACUAAAUAUAGGAACCCUGAGACAGGGUAAUAGACAGUAUUAUUACAUUAUUAUUAUUAUUAUUAUUAUUAUUACUUAAUAUAUGGACCCUGAGACAGUAUUAUUAUUAUUAUUAUUAUUAUUAUUAUUAUUAUUAUUACUUAAUAUAGGGAUCCUGAGACAAGGUAACAGACAGUAUUAUAUUAUUAUUAUUAUUAUUAUUAUUAUUAUAUUAUUAUUAUUAUUAUUAUUACUUAAUAUAGGGACCCUGAGACAAGGUAAAACAGUAUUAUUAUAUUAUUAUUAUUAUUAUUAUUAUUAUUAUUACUUAAUAUAGGGACCCUGAGACAAGGCAACAGACAGUAUUAUUAUUACUUAAUAUAGGGAUCCUGAGACAAGCUAACACAGUAUUAUUAUUAUAUUAUUAUUAUUAUUAUUAUUAUUAUUAUAUUCUUCUUCUUCUUCUUCUUCUUCUUCUUCUUAUUAUUAUUAUUAUUAUUAUUAUUAUUAUUACUUAAUAUAGGGACCCUGAGACAAGGCAACAGACAGUAUUAUUAUUAUUAUUAUAUUAUUAUUAUUAUUACUUAAUAUAGGGAUCCUGAGACAAGCUAACACAGUAUUAUUAUUAUUAUAUUAUUAUUAUUAUUAUAUUCUUCUUCUUCUUCUUCUUCUUCUUAUUAUUAUUAUUAUUAUUAUUAUUAUUAUUACUUAAUAUAGGGACCCUGAGACAAGGUAACAGACAGUAUUAUUAUAUUAUUAUUAUAUUAUUAUUAUUAUUAUUAUUAUUACUUAAUAUAGGACCCUGAGACAAGGUAACAGACAGUAUUAUAUUAUUAUUAUUAUUAUUAUUAUUAUUACUUAAUAUAGGAACCCUGAGACAAGGUAAUAGACAGUAUUAUUAUAUUAUUAUUAUUAUUAUAUUAUUAUUACUUAAUAUAGGGACCCUGAGACAAAGUAAUAGAGGUAUUAUUAUAUUUUUAUUAUUAUUAUUACUUAAUAUAUGGAUCCUGAGACAAGGUAACCGACAGUAUUAUUAUAUUAUUAUUAUUAUUAUUAUUAUUGUUAUUAUUAUUAUUACUUAAUAUAGGGAUCCUGAGACAAGGUAAUAGGCAGUAUUAUUAUUAUUAUUAUUAUAAUUACUUAAUAUAGGGACCCUGAGACAAGAUAACAGACAGUAUUAUUAUAGUAUUAUUAUUAUAUUAUUAUUACUUAAUAUAGGGAUCCUGAGACAAGGUAAUAGUAUUAAUAAUAAUAAUAAUAAUAAUAAUAAUAUUAUUAUUAUUAUUAUUAUUACUUAAUAUAGGGAUCCUGAGACAGGGUAAUAGACAGUAUUAUUAUAAUUAUUAUUAUUAUUAUUACUUAAUAUAUGGAUCACGAGACAAGGUAAUAGACAGUAUUAUUAUUAUAUUAUUAUUAUUAUUAUUACUUAAUAUAGGGAUCCUGAAACAGGGUAAUAGACAGUAUUUUUAUAAUUAUUAUUACUUAAUAUAGGGAUCCUAAGACAAGGUAAUAGACAGUGUUAUUAUAUUAUUAUUAUAUUAUUAUUAUUACUUAAAAUAGGCAUCCUGAGUCAAGGUAAUAGACAGUUUUAUAUUAUUAUUGUUAUUGUAUUAUUAUUAUUACUUAAUAUAGGGAUCCUAAGACAGGGUAAUAGACAUUAUUAUUAUUAUUAUUAUUAUUAUUAUUAUUAUUAUCAUUAUUACUAACUAUAGGGAUCCUGAGAGAAGAUAACAUACAGUAUUAUUAUUAUUACUUAUUAUAGGGAUCCUGAGACAAGGUAAUAGACAGUAUUAUAUUAUUAUUAUUAUUAUUAUUAUUAUUAUUAUUAUAACUACUUAAUAUAGGGAUCCUGAAACAAGGUAAUAGACAGUAUUACAUUAAUAUUAUUAUAAUUACUUAUUAUAGGGAUACUUAUAUAAUAUAUUAUAAUUAUUAUUACUUUAAUAUGAAUGCUGAGACAAGGUAAUAGUAUUAUUAUUAUUAUUAUUAUUAUAGUGUUAUUAUAAUUACUUAAUAUAGGAAUCCUGAGGCAAGGUAAUAGACAAUAUUAUUAUUAGUAUUAUUAUUAGUACUUAAUAUAGGGAUCCUGAGACAAGGUAAUACCUUAUUAUUAUGAUAGGGAUCCUGGAACAGGGUAAUACACAGUAUUACCUUAUUACUACUCAUUAAUAAUAUUACUUGUAUUAGGGAUCCAGAAACAAGGUUAUAGACAGUAUUACAUUAAGAUGAAGUGUUUUUGGUGUUUAGAAUUUCCCUUUAAUGUUAGUCCCUAAACUGAACCCUAACUGUAACCCAACAUUUCCAAACUCCUCGUGCUGCAGCAUACUCCCUAAUCCUAAACCUUGCUGUAACCUUAAACUGACUUCCUUUACAGGACAUCUCCGAGCAACUCUCCUCGGUCAGUGUGCUUGCAGGUAUAGGGAGAAGAGAUCAGGUAACCAACCAGAGCACAAAGCAGGAACUCUUAUUGGUGUUUUAAUGGGCUUGUCUGUGCUUCAAUCACACGAGUGGCAAAUAAUUUCAUUGAUAAAAAAAUAACAAAACAAGAAUACAGCUAUUCAACAAGCAAAUUGAAGCAGCGCUCUUACUUCUGUUAGCUUGCACAACAACUUCAUUCAUUCAUUUUCAUGAAUUGAGCAAUUUUGGAUUGGUAACGUCAUGUCUUAUAAUUCCUUUAGUCAGGGGUUUACGGAAUGCGCUCAGCAUAAUUUGAAAAGCAGUCGAAUGGCACGGAUUAGUUACAUUCUGGUCCCUGUAUAGGCUGCCAUUUUGCAGCACACAUGGGAAGUUCAGUGAUUGGCAUUUUUAAUUUUUUUUUAAUAUAUUUCAAUACAUUUUAUGCAUUUCCUUCAUAUUACACCAAGUUGACCUAUUAAGGAUUUUAAACUUAUGUUAAAAGAUAAACUGCCCAAACCACUCUAAUGAUAUUAUUGGAUUUACUAGAGCAGCAUCUUCAUUAGCAGUAAGAUCAUUUUAAUUGGCUCUGAUAAACUGCUCUUAUUGGCUUUAAAUAAUAAGCUUUGUUGAGCAGGAAGCACUACUCUGGCUUUUAAAUCAGUUUGCUUACCUGUGUCAAUCGUUGCUAUGUUCCUCUGUGUUGUAUAGUGCAUGGAGGAAUUGGCUGGCGGGUUCACAUAUUGCAAAUUUCAUGUCAAAAUAGCUGCGCUCCACCCAUUAUACUAACCAUCCUAUAAUAAUAUUCUGACUGCAUCAUACCAUUCUAACUCCCCAGCUUAUAAUAAUAUUCUGACUGCAUAAUAACAUCAUAACCUAUAGUAAUUGUAACGGAGCUCCCUGUACCCUGACUGGGUACCUCCGCCAAGGACCACUUCCUAGCUGGAACAGGGGACAAACUGCAGCACUUCUGCCCACAGUCGCCGUAGCUUUGCUGGGGCCCUGGAACCACUCUUUACUGGAGCCGAAUGGUUAAGACUAAUUGCAGUCAAAACUAUGACUUCCAGGAAAUUCCUGAUCUGAUCUGGGUGACUUUUGGAUAUGUUGGUCACCCAGAUCAGGGCUAUUGGGGGAUGUAACUUUUGUGGGGUUUUUAUGUAUUUUCUGUGCUUGGAGAUAAUUAGAUUUUUACAGUUCCUGAUCCAAUUAUCUCCCAGGCACAGAGUAGGGAUUAUCUGUAUGGGAGUGUCCAGGACAUGAGAGCCAAUGUGAUUGUGCAUUUAUUUCUACUGUGGUUUAGUCACAGGUCCAGGGGGGAGUGCCCUUUGCAUGGGGACCUGCAUGUAAGGCCAGUUGUGGCUACCAUUAAACUGAGAUUUGUUUCACCCUUCAUGAAGUCUAGGCUCAUGUUUGGGGGAUUGGAGAGCUAUAUUCACUCUGGGGAUUGCUAUAAUCAUUAUACUCCCUUGGAUCACAACACUUACUCUUAUAAGAGCAGCCUGCUUCGCUCUGUGGACUAGUAGAGGUCUACCCACUGGGAGCUGGAUUCUGGUCUUGGGUCCAGAGUGGGUGGAGGACAGCAAGACCCCAACCAAGCUGCGGCGGUUUGUGGGGUUUACGGUUUUCCAUUGCAGUGCUUAUGGUGCUCGCAAGUACUAGGAAGCAGCGAUUGAUGGAGGUACCCGGUCGGGGUGCCAGGCAGUCUGUCACAAUAGCAUUCUAACUCCCCGACCUAUAGUAACAUUCUGAUUGCAUUAUAACAUUCUAACUAUUGUCCCUGAGUCUGAAAAAACACAUGCUGUGUUGCCGGGGCAUCACAGCAUGGCGCGCCAGGGAGCAGUGCUGGAAGAUGAUGAAGAGUCCAGCUGCUUCUCCGCCUCCAUUCUCCCUCAGCUGCCCUACUACUGUUGUGGGUGCCGAGGUGGCCAGCCGGCCUGCUUUUGGCUUACCCUCUGCAUGCGAUCUGCAUACCCCCUGGAGUACACGUACCACUUGUGGAGAAACUAGGUGGUGGACUAUACAAAGAAAUAGUUUUCAUUCCUGUGUAGUUUGGUGCUGAUUUACUGCGUUCUAGAAUAUGUCCAAUUUUCUACUUAAUGCUAUACAUAUAUGUGAAAGGUCAGUAUGCACUGCCCUCUUCUGGUGGUUUGUUAACGCUGUCCAGUGUGGUUUCUUUUUCUAUGGUGAUAUGGUGAUCUUUUGACAGAUGCAGGUCUCACAAAUGCAAGGUUAAUCCAUCUGGAGUGGUCUCUUGAGGAGGGGUGGGGGGGGGGAGGAAGAAGCUUGCUGAACAUGUUGUCUGUCAGCUGGUGUGUUUGUUACCAGGCUCAAAGAGCAAUUAAAUGGUGUAGAGACUGCACGGUAAGAGUCUGUAAUGGAUGUUACACACACAGUUCGGCCUUUUCCAAUGCAUUCCUUGCUACAAAUAAAGUCUCACGUUACAAACCACAGCUGCUGAUUUACCCAGGAAGAGCUGUCAGCAAGGUUAACCCUUUAACAUGUGCAUUUAGCCAUUUAGUUAUACAAAAAUAGAUUCUUUAUAUCCCUCAAAGUUAUAAAGAAAACACAAGUGCCCUUCUUUAAUCAGGCUCAGUCUAUUAGUGCACGUAAAAACAAGAAUAAGGAAGAAAAAAAUUUGCUCUGUCUUGCGGUAUUGGAAGUAUUGGUAGUUGCCCUUCCUCAGCUGGCUAAGAUCAACAAUAAUGAUGAUCUCAGCCGGUCCAAUGCUUCCCCAUAGUGUACUUGCGUGGCGAUUGCUGUGCUGCGUCAGUCUCAAUACAUCUCUAAGGGGAGUGUCUAUUGUUUACAUGCAGAGCAUGGAGGCGCCAGAGGUUAGUCCUGCAAUCUUUGUAGGACCUCAUCCAGGAAGUACCUCUAGUGGCUUCAAUGUAUUGCCAACCCCCAAAUGGAUUAUUUACUAAAAACCAAACUAUAGAAAAUUAAAUGAAAAUUGCAAAUUUGUUGAUAAAAUGGCCAGAUUGCCACUAUGCCCUUGUUUACAUUUCAGUAAAUUUACAUAAACCAUGUUCGUGAUUACACGUUGUUAUAUAUCCAAACAUGUCACUUGAGAUAAGUUACUGUUACGGCUUGGGAAAUCAGUGAAGGAUGACCCAGCAAAAUUCCUCUUUUGUCUGCACGGAAAAGAAAAUAUUCUACUUGUAUAAACUUAGCGAAGGCGUGCAUGCUCGCUCUGUAAACACUUUCACUGAUUAAAUAAAUGAUUUACCAUUGACCUGAUUUGUAAUUUUGUUUUGUUUUUUUCUUUCCAGGUGGCAUUGGUGGUAUUUAAACAGUUAUGGCGUUUGCAGCACCGAAGAACACAGAUGGAGCCAAGUUACAAACCAAAAUGAGCACAUGGACUCCAUUAAACCACCAGCUCAUGAAUGACAAGGUGACUGCGGAA
RNAcentral lists this long non-coding RNA (10871 nucleotides) under Pelobates cultripes (western spadefoot toad). Lineage: Eukaryota; Metazoa; Chordata; Amphibia; Anura; Pelobatidae. The record is from RNAcentral.